This 376-nucleotide unclassified non-coding RNA is filed under the name Hevea brasiliensis (rubber tree). Lineage: Eukaryota; Viridiplantae; Streptophyta; Magnoliopsida; Malpighiales; Euphorbiaceae. The record is from RNAcentral.
GCAUCGGAAUCCAUCCAUAUAGAACCACAAAACUUCUGCAUUAACCUUGUACACUCUCAAAUCUCAAUUCACAUAUACAUGGAUUUGUCUUCUAACUCCAAAGGAAUAUAUUAAAAUGUCUUCACGAGCAUCACAUAAUAAUUGGAGCAGGGAAAGCGAGAGAUUUACUAUUUUUUCACGCAACCAAUCUACUUGUAAAAGAUAUGCCUUCUCUAUUAGGAGAGAAAAAAACAGUCUAAUUGUUUAUUGAUUUAUAUAUAGUUGUUUUCCCUCAAGUUUUCAGGCACUUCCACCAGGAUAAUUGCAAGCAUUAUAGCUGGGAUUUUUAGACGAAAGAGUGGCGGUUUGCGAGAAAUCACAGUUCCAUGGAUUUCUA